CAGAACGAACGCUGGCGGCAGGCCUAACACAUGCAAGUCGAGCGCGCCUUUCGGGGUGAGCGGCGGACGGGUUAGUAACGCGUGGGAAUAUGCCCUUUGGUACGGAAUAGCCUCUGGAAACGGAGAGUAAUACCGUAUGAGCCCUUCGGGGGAAAGAUUUAUCGCCAAAGGAUUAGCCCGCGUUAGAUUAGGUAGUUGGUGGGGUAAUGGCCUACCAAGCCUACGAUCUAUAGCUGGUUUUAGAGGAUGAUCAGCAACACUGGGACUGAGACACGGCCCAGACUCCUACGGGAGGCAGCAGUGGGGAAUCUUGGACAAUGGGGGCAACCCUGAUCCAGCCAUGCCGCGUGAGUGAUGAAGGCCUUAGGGUCGUAAAGCUCUUUCGCCUGUGAAGAUAAUGACGGUAGCAGGUAAAGAAACCCCGGCUAACUCCGUGCCAGCAGCCGCGGUAAUACGGAGGGGGUUAGCGUUGUUCGGAAUUACUGGGCGUAAAGCGCACGUAGGCGGAUCGGAAAGUUGGGGGUGAAAUCCCGGGGCUCAACCCCGGAACUGCCUCCAAAACUAUCGGUCUAGAGUUCGAGAGAGGUGAGUGGAAUUCCGAGUGUAGAGGUGAAAUUCGUAGAUAUUCGGAGGAACACCAGUGGCGAAGGCGGCUCACUGGCUCGAU
RNAcentral lists this ribosomal RNA (667 nucleotides) under Pseudomonadota bacterium. RNAcentral's name for it is "bacterial SSU rRNA". It matches the Rfam family "Bacterial small subunit ribosomal RNA", at positions 25 to 738 of the family's 1533-position model. Lineage: Bacteria; Pseudomonadati; Pseudomonadota. The record is from RNAcentral.